AGUGAACGCUGGCGGUAGGCCUAACACAUGCAAGUCGAACGGCAGCACAGGAGAGCUUGCUCUCUGGGUGGCGAGUGGCGGACGGGUGAGGAAUACAUCGGAAUCUGCCCAGUCGUGGGGGAUAACGUAGGGAAACUUACGCUAAUACCGCAUACGACCUUCGGGUGAAAGAGGGGGAUCGCAAGACCUCUCGCGAUUGGAUGAGCCGAUGUCGGAUUAGCUAGUUGGCGGGGUAAUGGCCCACCAAGGCGACGAUCCGUAGCUGGUCUGAGAGGAUGAUCAGCCACACUGGAACUGAGACACGGUCCAGACUCCUACGGGAAGCAGCAGUGGGGAAUAUUGGACAAUGGGCGCAAGCCUGAUCCAGCCAUACCGCGUGGGUGAAGAAGGCCUUCGGGUUGUAAAGCCCUUUUGUUGGGAAAGAAAUCUUUCAGGCUAAUACCCUGGGAGGAUGACGGUACCCAAAGAAUAAGCACCGGCUAACUUCGUG
This 490-nucleotide ribosomal RNA is filed under the name uncultured bacterium. RNAcentral's name for it is "partial 16S ribosomal RNA". It matches the Rfam family "Bacterial small subunit ribosomal RNA", at positions 29 to 507 of the family's 1533-position model. The record is from RNAcentral.